GACGAACGCUGGCGGCGUGGAUUAGGCAUGCAAGUCGAACGGUAGGAUACCUUCGGGUAUCUGAGAGUGGCGAACGGGUGAGUAACACGUAGGUGAUCUACCCUCAAGAUUGGGACAACCCAGGGAAACUUGGGCUAAUACCGGAUGAAAGCAGCAGUGAUGUUGUUUGAAAGGUGGCGUAAGCUGCCGUUUGGGGAUGAGCCUGCGCUCUAUUAGUUAGUUGGCGGGGUAAAGGCCCACCAAGGCGAUGAUAGAUAGGCGGCCUUAACGGGUGGUCGCCCACACUGGGAUUGAGAUACGGCCCAGACUCCUACGGGAGGCAGCAGUCGAGAAUAGUCUACAAUGGCCGAAAGGCUGAUAGUGCGACGCCGCGUGAACGAAGAAGCCCUUCGGGGUGUAAAGUUCUUUUAUAUGUGAGCAGUGCUUUCUAUGUGAACAGCAUGGGGGAGAGGAGUAUUAGUACGAUAAUAGUAAGUAAAGUACGAACGAACGUAACUAACCGUUCGUCCGACGACGACGACC
RNAcentral lists this ribosomal RNA (522 nucleotides) under uncultured bacterium. RNAcentral's name for it is "bacterial SSU rRNA". It matches the Rfam family "Bacterial small subunit ribosomal RNA", at positions 33 to 541 of the family's 1533-position model. The record is from RNAcentral.